RNAcentral lists this long non-coding RNA (2407 nucleotides) under Salvia miltiorrhiza (redroot sage). RNAcentral describes it as "long non-coding RNA (SMIL_LNC007567)". Lineage: Eukaryota; Viridiplantae; Streptophyta; Magnoliopsida; Lamiales; Lamiaceae. The record is from RNAcentral.
CCUUGUAAGUCAAAAUUGUAUUAGGCCUUUAUGCGAUUUGCUUGUAUGCCCUGACCCAAGGAUCGUGACAGUAUGUUUGGAAGGUCUUGAAAACAUUCUGAAAGUAGGGGAAUCUGAGAAGAAUUUGGGUCGCACAGGAGAAGCCAACCUGUUUGCACAAAUGAUUGAUGAUGCUGAAGGUCUUGAAAAAAUUGAGAACUUGCAGAGUCAUGACAACAAUGAGAUAUACGAGAAGGCUGUGAAGAUGCUUGAGACGUAUUGGUUGGAGGAUGAUGAUGAGCCAGGCCCACCAGGAGACGCAUCCCAGUCUGGUUUCCAAUUUGGAGGGGCUGAGGUCUCCGUCCCUGCUGGUGGCUUCAGCUUCAACUGAAGGUAAUAUUGGAACGGAGUAAAUGGCAGAUAGUUAGCUGCAUCUUGGAACGUAAUUUCUUUUAAGCGGCAAUGGAUAACUUUUUUCUACCGCAAUUUUCUUUGGUUAGUUGAUAUUACUAGAAAUUGCCUGAUAUCUAUACGAUGGCUGGGUAAUUUUGGCUCUCCCAAAAGAUAUAUCAUACCUAGCUUGUUUGGUAGGGUAGUUGUUUUCAUGUUACAUUGGAUUCUUCAUUUUUAUUUAGUGUAUGAUCAAAUGUGUCUUGCAAAUUAUUUGUUGGCUCAUGCAUGCUUUGUUUUAUCUUUCAAUUUAUUGUCGAAUACCGUGAUGUGCGUAUGAGUAAGGUUAUAAACGAAUCAAAUGUUUUUUUAAAGUGUCAUUAUAAAUGGGACAAAUUGAAAAAUGAAAGUGUGCUAAGAUAAUUGGCAUAUACAACAUAUACUUAAUUCUUUCAUUUAAUUUAAAUACAAAUUUAAAAAUAAAGAUCUUGAAGGAUAUCUAAAGGGUGAACAUCUUCCAUGUUAUAGGUUUUUUUUAAAAAAGGUAUAAAUCAAAAUCCUAAAUUGCCACAUAAUAAAUAUUUUAAAAAUAUAUAUGAAUUAUAUAGACAAAUUCGAUGUAAUGAAGGUCAAAUUAAUGACAAUUCAAAUCAAUUUAAAUUUUAUAAAAUUCGUAACUAUUACAUACUAUAAAUAAAAUAAACUAAUCUUAUGCAAACUUUAAAAUCCGAUCAUUUUUAUCUACAACAUUAUUUCUAUCUAUUUUUUGCAAAUAUAUAUAUAUAUAUAUAAUAUAUUUUCAUGUACAAAAUUGAUCGAUUUAUUAAGUUUAUUUUUUUAACAUUGAAAAAUAAUUACUAUUUUAUUAUUUUAGUUGGAUUUCGAUUUUAAUAAAAAAUUUAUCCAAGCAAUGGUGCUACCGGUGAGUCGUGAGUAGAUACAUGCCAAAUAAUUUUAAUAAACACAACACCCAUUAUUUUAUAUGCAUUUAAAAUAAUAUUUUAUCAGUAGGUUAGUGAAAAAANACAUAUAUUGUGACUUUAUUCCAUAAAUUCCCCUUAAAUGCUUUCUUGCCCAUCCUUUCAUUUAUCUUCACCCCAGGACAUAGAGUGGCUAAUAUUUUAAUUAUUCACUUAGAUGAUAUACAUAUGCGAAGAGCCUGCCAUUGGGUCUGUAAAAGUAGUUUGUACUUCAAUUGUUUUAUAAUAUAAUUUCAUAUCUGAAGAUUGAGUGCCUUUUGCAGUUUAUCAUCCGCAAUGGUGCACUGCCCUCUCUUCUUAACCUCUUGAAUGGUAGUAUAAGAAAAGCAUUAAAAAGGAAGCUUGCUGGACUAUUUCCAACAUCACAGCUGGAAACAAAGAACAAAUUGAGGUACAGUUUGUUUUCUUUGGAUUUGUAUGUAUGAAGCAUAUUAGCCAAGGUGGCUUGGGGUGCCGGAAAACAUGUUUUUAUAGCAACACUCGGCUUAUUGCAGGCUGUCAUUGAGGCUGGUAUUAUUGGUCCACUAGUCCAAUUGCUACAAAAUGCUGAAUUUGAUGUUAAAAAAGAGGCUGCGUGGGCCUUGUCAAAUGCCACGUCUGGUGGUACUCAUGAACAAAUAAAGUGAGAUAUUAUGAUUUAUGCAUUUUAUGUUACCUUUUUGUUAUGUCAUUUUAUCAUUGUUACUAGAAUUGAAUCCCUUCUUUCUUGAAUAGGUACCUUGUAAGUCAAAAUUGUAUUAGGCCUUUAUGCGAUUUGCUUGUAUGCCCUGACCCAAGGAUCGUGACAGUAUGUUUGGAAGGUCUUGAAAACAUUCUGAAAGUAGGGGAAUCUGAGAAGAAUUUGGGUCGCACAGGAGAAGCCAACCUGUUUGCACAAAUGAUCGAUGAUGCUGAAGGUCUUGAAAAAAUUGAGAACUUGCAGAGUCAUGACAACAAUGAGAUAUACGAGAAGGCUGUGAAGAUGCUUGAGACGUAUUGGUUGGAGGAUGAUGAUGAGCCAGGCCCACCAGGAGACGCAUCCCAGUCUGGUUUCCAAUUUGGAGGGGCUGAGGUCUCCG